RNAcentral lists this ribosomal RNA (719 nucleotides) under uncultured bacterium. RNAcentral describes it as "bacterial SSU rRNA". It matches the Rfam family "Bacterial small subunit ribosomal RNA", at positions 754 to 1504 of the family's 1533-position model. The record is from RNAcentral.
CGAAAGCUGGGGUAGCGAAACAGAUUAGAUACCUGUGUAGUCCUAGCUGUAAACGAUGUCCGCUAGCUCUCACGUAAGUGGGGGUGUAAGCUAACGCGUUAAGCGGACCGCCUGGGGAGUACGGUCGCAAGACUAAAACUCAAAGGAAUUGACGGGGACCCGCACAACCGGUGGAGCGUGUGGUUCAAUUCGAGACAAAACGAAGAACCUCACCAAGGUUUGACAUAAUACCGUUUAUUUCCCAAGAAACUGGGAGAAAUCCGCAAGGAUGGUAUUACAGGUGCUGCAUGGCUGUCGUCAGCUCGUGCCGUGAGGUGUUCCCUUAAGUGGGGAAACGAGCGCAACCCCCGUGUAAUGUUAAAUAUUCAUUGCAGACGGUCCCGAUUUUAUCGGGAAGGAAGGAGGGGAAGACGUCAAGUCAGCACGGCCCUUACACCUUGGGCUACACACACACUACAAUGGCGAAUAACAGCGAGUUGCAAGUACGCAAGUGCAAGCUAAUCUCUAAAAUUUCGCCUCAGUUCAGAUUGGGGUCUGCAACCCGACCCCAUGAAGUCGGAAUCGGUAGUAAUCGUGGAUCAGCAUGCCACGGUGAAUACGUUCUCGGGUCUUGUACACACCGCCCGUCAAGGCAGCAAAGUCGGGGGUGGACGAACUGCGGUUUUACCGUAGGAGUCCAAAUCCGGCGAUGAGGCUUAAGUCGUAACAAGGUAGCCGUA